UGGCGGACGGGUGAGUAACGCGUGGGUAACCUGCCCUGUACAGGGGGACAACAGUUAGAAAUGACUGCUAAUACCGCAUAAGCGCACAGGACCGCAUGGUCCGGUGUGAAAAACUCCGGUGGUACAGGAUGGACCCGCGUCUGAUUAGGUAGUUGGCGGGGUAACGGCCCACCAAGCCGACGAUCAGUAGCCGACCUGAGAGGGUGACCGACCACAUUGGGACUGAGACACGGCCCAAACUCCUACGGAAGGCAGCAG
RNAcentral lists this ribosomal RNA (258 nucleotides) under uncultured bacterium. Its description in RNAcentral is "partial 16S ribosomal RNA". It matches the Rfam family "Bacterial small subunit ribosomal RNA", at positions 96 to 354 of the family's 1533-position model. The record is from RNAcentral.